GCGAACGGGUGAGUAACACGUAAGUAACCUACCUUUAAGACGAGGAUAACAAUCGGAAACGGUUGCUAAGACUGGAUAGGAAACAGAAAGGCAUCUUUUUGUUUUUAAAAGACCUUCUUCGGAGGGUAUGCUUAAAGAGGGGCUUGCGCCACAUUAGUUAGUUGGUGAGGUAAAGGCUUACCAAGAUUAUGAUGUGUAGCUGGACUGAGAGGUUGAACAGCCACAUUGGGACUGAGACACGGCCCAAACUCCUACGGGAGGCAGCAGUAGGGAAUUUUCGGCAAUGGAGGAAACUCUGACCGAGCGACGCCGCGUGAACGAUGAAGUAUUUCGGUAUGUAAAGUUCUUUUAUUGAAGAAGAAAAAAUAGUGGGAAAAACUAUAUUGACGUUAUUCAAUGAAUAAGCCCCGGCUAACUAUGUGCCAGCANCCGCGGUAAGACAUAGGGGGCGAGCGUUAUCCGGAAUUAUUGGGCGUAAAGGGUGCGUAGGCGGUUAGAUAAGUCUAUAAUUUAAUUUCAGUGCUUAACGCUGUCUUGUUAUAGAAACUGUCUUGACUAGAGUGAGAUAGAGGCAAGCGGAAUUCCAUGUGUAGCGGUAAAAUGUGUAAAUAUAUGGAGGAACACCAGAAGCGUAGGCGGCUUGCUGGGUCUUUACUGACGCUGAGGCACGAAAGCGUGGGGAGCAAACAGGAUUAGANNNNNNNNNNNNNNNNNNNNNNNNNNNNNNNNNNNNNNNNNGGGGAAACUCGGUACUGAAGUUAACACAUUAAGUACUCCGCCUGAGUAGUACGUACGCAAGUAUGAAACUUAAAGGAAUUGACGGGACUCCGCACAAGCGGUGGAUCAUGUUGUUUAAUUCGAAGAUACACGAAAAACCUUACCAGGUCUUGACAUACUCUGCAAAGCUAUAGAAAUAUAGUGGAGGUUAUCAGGGAUACAGGUGGUGCAUGGUUGUCGUCAGUUCGUGUCGUGAGAUGUUAGGUUAAGUCCUAAAACGAACGCAACCCCUGUCGUUAGUUGCCAGCACGUAAUGGUGGGGACUUUAGCGAGACUGCCAAUUAAACAUUGGAGGAAGGUGGGGAUAACGUCAAAUCAUCAUGCCCCUUAUGAUCUGGGCUACAAACGUGAUACAAUGGCUAUUACAAAGAGUAGCUGAAACGCGAGUUUUUAGCCAAUCUCAAAAAGGUAGUCUCAGUACGGAUUGAAGUCUGCAACUCGACUUCAUGAAGCUGGAAUCGCUAGUAAUCGCGAAUCAGCAUGUCGCGGUGAAUACGUUCUCGGGGUUUGUACACACCGCCCGUCAAACCACGAAAGUUAGCAAUACCCGAAAGCAGUGGCUUAACUUCGCAAGAAGAGGGAGCUGUCUAAGGUAGGGUUGAUGAUUGGGGUUAAGUCGUAACAAGGUAUCCUUACCGGAAGGUGAGGAUGGAU
RNAcentral lists this ribosomal RNA (1431 nucleotides) under Candidatus Phytoplasma ulmi. Its description in RNAcentral is "16S rRNA". It matches the Rfam family "Bacterial small subunit ribosomal RNA". The record is from RNAcentral. Lineage: Bacteria; Bacillati; Mycoplasmatota; Mollicutes; Acholeplasmatales; Acholeplasmataceae.